GGUUAAGCGACUAAGCGUACACGGUGGAUGCCCUGGCAGUCAGAGGCGAUGAAGGACGUGCUAAUCUGCGAAAAGCGUCGGUAAGGUGAUAUGAACCGUUACAGCCGGCGAUGUCCGAAUGGGGAAACCCAGUGCAAUUCGUUGCACUAUCGUUAACUGAAUACAUAGGUUAACGAGGCGAACCGGGGGAACUGAAACAUCUAAGUACCCCGAGGAAAAGAAAUCAACCGAGAUUCCCCCAGUAGCGGCGAGCGAACGGGGAGCAGCCCAGAGUCUGAAUCAGCUUGUGUGUUAGUGGAACGGUCUGGAAAGUCCGACGGUACAGGGUGAUAGUCCCGUACACCAAAAUGCACAGGCUGUGAACUCGAAGAGUAGGGCGGGACACGUGGUAUCCUGUCUGAAUAUGGGGGGACCAUCCUCCAAGGCUAAAUACUCCUGACUGACCGAUAGUGAACCAGUACCGUGAGGGAAAGGCGAAAAGAACCCCGGCGAGGGGAGUGAAAAAGAACCUGAAACCGUGUACGUACAAGCAGUGGGAGCACCUUCGGGUGUGACUGCGUACCUUUUGUAUAAUGGGUCAGCGACUUAUAUUCUGUAGCAAGGUUAACCGUAUAGGGGAGCCGCAGGGAAACCGAGUCUUAACUGGGCGUUAAGUUGCAGGGUAUAGACCCGAAACCCGGUGAUCUAGCCAUGGGCAGGUUGAAGGUUGGGUAACACUAACUGGAGGACCGAACCGACUAAUGUUGAAAAAUUAGCGGAUGACUUGUGGCUGGGGGUGAAAGGCCAAUCAAACCGGGAGAUAGCUGGUUCUCCCCGAAAGCUAUUUAGGUAGCGCCUCGUGAAUUCAUCUUCGGGGGUAGAGCACUGUUUCGGCUAGGGGGUCAUCCCGACUUACCAACCCGAUGCAAACUACGAAUACCGAAGAAUGUUAUCACGGGAGACACACGGCGGGUGCUAACGUCCGUCGUGAAGAGGGAAACAACCCAGACCGCCAGCUAAGGUCCCAAAGUCAUGGUUAAGUGGGAAACGAUGUGGGAAGGCACAGACAGCCAGGAUGUUGGCUUAGAAGCAGCCAUCAUUUAAAGAAAGCGUAAUAGCUCACUGGUCGAGUCGGCCUGCGCGGAAGAUGUAACGGGGCUAAACCAUGCACCGAAGCUGCGGCAGCGACACUAUGUGUUGUUGGGUAGGGGAGCGUUCUGUAAGCCUGCGAAGGUGUGCUGUGAGGCAUGCUGGAGGUAUCAGAAGUGCGAAUGCUGACAUAAGUAACGAUAAAGCGGGUGAAAAGCCCGCUCGCCGGAAGACCAAGGGUUCCUGUCCAACGUUAAUCGGGGCAGGGUGAGUCGACCCCUAAGGCGAGGCCGAAAGGCGUAGUCGAUGGGAAACAGGUUAAUAUUCCUGUACUUGGUGUUACUGCGAAGGGGGGACGGAGAAGGCUAUGUUAGCCGGGCGACGGUUGUCCCGGUUUAAGCAUGUAGGCUGGUUGUCCAGGCAAAUCCGGAUAAUCAAGGCUGAGGUGUGAUGACGAGGCACUACGGUGCUGAAGUAACAAAUGCCCUGCUUCCAGGAAAAGCCUCUAAGCAUCAGGUAACAUCAAAUCGUACCCCAAACCGACACAGGUGGUCAGGUAGAGAAUACCAAGGCGCUUGAGAGAACUCGGGUGAAGGAACUAGGCAAAAUGGUGCCGUAACUUCGGGAGAAGGCACGCUGGUGUGUAGGUGAAGUCCCUGCGGAUGGAGCUGAGACCAGUCGAAGAUACCAGCUGGCUGCAACUGUUUAUUAAAAACACAGCACUGUGCAAACACGAAAGUGGACGUAUACGGUGUGACGCCUGCCCGGUGCCGGAAGGUUAAUUGAUGGGGUUAUCCGUAAGGAGAAGCUCUUGAUCGAAGCCCCGGUAAACGGCGGCCGUAACUAUAACGGUCCUAAGGUAGCGAAAUUCCUUGUCGGGUAAGUUCCGACCUGCACGAAUGGCGUAAUGAUGGCCAGGCUGUCUCCACCCGAGACUCAGUGAAAUUGAACUCGCUGUGAAGAUGCAGUGUACCCGCGGCAAGACGGAAAGACCCCGUGAACCUUUACUAUAGCUUGACACUGAACAUUGAGCCUUGAUGUGUAGGAUAGGUGGGAGGCUUUGAAGCGUGGACGCCAGUCUGCGUGGAGCCAACCUUGAAAUACCACCCUUUAAUGUUUGAUGUUCUAACGUUGGCCCCUGACCGGGGUUGCGGACAGUGUCUGGUGGGUAGUUUGACUGGGGCGGUCUCCUCCCAAAGCGUAACGGAGGAGCACGAAGGUUAGCUAAUCCUGGUCGGACAUCAGGAGGUUAGUGCAAUGGCAUAAGCUAGCUUGACUGCGAGCGUGACGGCGCGAGCAGGUGCGAAAGCAGGUCAUAGUGAUCCGGUGGUUCUGAAUGGAAGGGCCAUCGCUCAACGGAUAAAAGGUACUCCGGGGAUAACAGGCUGAUACCGCCCAAGAGUUCAUAUCGACGGCGGUGUUUGGCACCUCGAUGUCGGCUCAUCACAUCCUGGGGCUGAAGUAGGUCCCAAGGGUAUGGCUGUUCGCCAUUUAAAGUGGUACGCGAGCUGGGUUUAGAACGUCGUGAGACAGUUCGGUCCCUAUCUGCCGUGGGCGCUGGAGAAUUGAGGGGGGCUGCUCCUAGUACGAGAGGACCGGAGUGGACGCAUCACUGGUGUUCGGGUUGUCAUGCCAAUGGCACUGCCCGGUAGCUAAAUGCGGAAGAGAUAAGUGCUGAAAGCAUCUAAGCACGAAACUUGCCCCGAGAUGAGUUCUCCCUGAGACUUUAAGUCUCCUGAAGGAACGUU
Molecule: ribosomal RNA, 2816 nt
Filed under: Klebsiella pneumoniae
Lineage: Bacteria; Pseudomonadati; Pseudomonadota; Gammaproteobacteria; Enterobacterales; Enterobacteriaceae
Description: partial 23S ribosomal RNA
Rfam family: Bacterial large subunit ribosomal RNA
Source: RNAcentral